CGGGCUGUAGCAUAAUGGUAGUGUACAUGCUUUGGGAGUAUGUGGCCUGGGUUCGAUUCCCAGCAGCCCGA
This 71-nucleotide transfer RNA is filed under the name Candidatus Spechtbacteria bacterium RIFCSPLOWO2_01_FULL_46_10. RNAcentral's name for it is "tRNA-Pro". It matches the Rfam family "tRNA". From Rfam's summary of the family: Transfer RNA (tRNA) molecules are approximately 80 nucleotides in length. Their secondary structure includes four short double-helical elements and three loops (D, anti-codon, and T loops). Further hydrogen bonds mediate the characteristic L-shaped molecular structure. tRNAs have two regions of fundamental functional importance: the anti-codon, which is responsible for specific mRNA codon recognition, and the 3' end, to which the tRNAs corresponding amino acid is attached (by aminoacyl-tRNA synthetases). tRNAs cope with the degeneracy of the genetic code in two manners: having more than one tRNA (with a specific anti-codon) for a particular amino acid; and 'wobble' base-pairing, i.e. permitting non-standard base-pairing at the 3rd anti-codon position. The record is from RNAcentral. Lineage: Bacteria; Candidatus Spechtiibacteriota.